Panicum virgatum (switchgrass) is the source of this 2527-nucleotide RNA transcript. It is a transcript of the gene named serine/threonine protein phosphatase 2A 55 kDa regulatory subunit B beta isoform, with no coding region annotated. The transcript is spliced from 12 exons. The record is from RefSeq and is a predicted model, not a curated record. Lineage: Eukaryota; Viridiplantae; Streptophyta; Magnoliopsida; Poales; Poaceae.
UCGCUGCUUGCUUCUCCACAUCAUCCCCGCUGACAGCACGCGCUCUCCCACGCCCCAGUCCCCCACACCCCCUCGAUCCCCACCGCCCGCCUCCCCUGCCAUUCUUCUAGAACCUGCCCCGCCCCCGCGAGCCUCCCGGAGCCCGCCCGCCGGCCUCCCGUACCCGAGAUCCCCCGGCGCAGCGCCAUGGUGUCGUGACGGCGGCGGAGGCGACGCCCAUGGAGCGGGAGCCCAUGUCCUCCGACGACCGCCCCGAGGCGGCUGCUGCUGCUGCGGCGGCGGAGCCGGUGCAGGAGCAGCCGCAGCCGCAGCCGCAGCCGCAGCCGCUGGAGUGGCGGUUCGCGCAGGUCUUCGGCGAGCGCGCGGCGGGCGAGGACGUCCAGGAAGUGGAUAUAAUAUCUGCAAUUGAGUUUGACAAAUCUGGUGAUCAUCUUGCCACUGGAGAUAGAGGUGGACGUGUGGUUUUAUUUGAAAGAACGGACUCUGGGGAUAGUUCUAGUCGAAGAGAACUUGAGGGGCAAGACUACCCGGUUGCUAGGCAUCCUGAGUUCCGCUACAGGACUGAAUUUCAGAGUCAUGAACCUGAGUUUGACUACCUAAAAAGUUUGGAAAUAGAGGAGAAGAUCAACAAGAUCAAGUGGUGCCAAAAAACCAACAAUGCAGUCUUUCUCUUGUCUACAAAUGACAAGACAAUCAAGUAUUGGAAGGUUCAGGAGAAAAAAGUGAAACGAGUUUCAGUGAUGAAUUUGGAUACCUCUCAAAGUUCAGGCAAUGGUUCAACUUCUAGUCCGGGUACCAAUAGUUGCAAAGCUCUUCUUCCAAAUGGUGGAUGCUCAGAAAAGUUGUACCAUCCAAACAACAAUAUGUCAUUUCCUCCUGGAGGAUGCGCAUCAUUGCGUUUGCCUGUGGUGGUUGUACUUAACCCACUUUAUCCAUCAUCUCUAGUGCUGUACAGCAUGAUGCAUCACUAGUACUUGCAUAUGCAAUACAAUAAUUUUCUUUUAAUUAUGACAUGAUACUAGUAGAUUUUUUUUUUCUAACAAACUAUAAAUAGUAUUCAUAGAGAAGUCUGAGUAGAUUCCUUUACUAUGUAUGCAGGUUACAGGCCAAGACUUAAACCAUGUUGCGAGAUGCCGACGUGUAUAUGCACAUGCUCAUGAUUACCAUAUUAAUUCCAUUUCAAAUAAUAGCGAUGGUGAAACAUUCAUAUCAGCAGAUGAUCUGCGAAUAAACCUAUGGAAUCUUGAAAUUAGCAACCAGAGCUUUAACAUUGUCGAUGUGAAACCUGUAAACAUGGAGGAUCUAACCGAUUCGAGGAGCAUGAUGCACCUGGAUCAAGAUCCUUUUUUACAGAGAUAAUCACAUCAGUUUCAGAUAUAAAGUUUGCAAGGGAUGGAAGACACAUUCUUAGUCGUGAUUAUAUGACUCUCAAGUUAUGGGAUCUAAACAUGGACUCCGGGCCAGUUGCAACUUUCCAAGUUCAUGAAUACUUAAGGCCUAAGCUUUGUGAUCUAUACGAAAAUGAUUCAAUUUUUGACAAAUUUGAAUGUUGUCUCAGUGGGGAUGGACUCCGUGUUGCUACUGGUUCCUAUAGUAAUUUGUUUCGUGUGUUUGGUUGUGCUCCUGGAAGUAUGGAGGCAUCCACUUUGGAAGCCAGCAGAAAUCCCAUGAGGCAUCAGGUUUCUAAUCCAGCAAGGCCUUCACGGACUCUGACCUCUUUUACCCGUGCCGUGAGGAGAGGUGGAGAAAAUACAAGCGUUGAGGCCAAUGGAAAUUCUUACGACCUCUCAACAAAAUUGCUUCAUCUUGCAUGGCACCCAACUGAGAACUCCAUCGCGUGUGCCGCUGCAAAUAGCUUGUACAUGUAUUACGCAUAGGGAACAUGCUAGAGAAAUUGAAUGUUCUUGUUUUUGGUCGACGUGAAAGCCUUGGCCUUUCACAUGCAACAAGGGGGAUAUGGUGCAGGAAAUUGUUGUCGAUUCCAUGGUUGGGGCCAAAAAGAGGCACUCAUGAUCGCCCACAAGACAAGUCCUGUUACUACUUGCUGCCCAUACUGGACUGCCUUCUUCGGAUUCUUUAGUAAACGUGAAGCAUGUGUUCUGAUCAUGUCGAAGCUUUUGGUCCCAAUAUAUGAUGACUGUAGUAGGCUAGUAGCUGCUUUGUAGGGAAAUCGGCAGCUGAAUGAUAAAGCAGAAGAUAGAUGAUGCUAAUCCCACAAAAGGUCACAGGAAUACCUGCUCAAAUAUCACAAAGGUUGUAAGUUUUCUUUUCUUCCCUUGUUACAACAUGUAAUGGGGACAUAGCCAGGACUAACCAUCAGUUGUCAGAACUUUGAGGUCGUUGAGUAUAAAAAUUUGUCAUAGCUAUUGUAGUUCUUCUUGGCUGCGGUUGUAUUCAUUAUAUUAUUCAAGUAAGUUCUUCUUGGAUGCUCUGUUCUCUUUGUAGCACCUGCAUUUAUGAUGUAAAAUGUGCUGUCUCGCAGCGCAAGAAUUGGUAUAUGGUCUUGAAACCUUUCUGAUUGCAAGAA